UAAUCAUGUAAGAUAAAAA
RNAcentral lists this microRNA (19 nucleotides) under Schistosoma mansoni. RNAcentral's name for it is "sma-miR-8430-3p". The record is from miRBase by way of RNAcentral. Lineage: Eukaryota; Metazoa; Platyhelminthes; Trematoda; Strigeidida; Schistosomatidae.